This 120-nucleotide ribosomal RNA is filed under the name uncultured bacterium. RNAcentral describes it as "partial 16S ribosomal RNA". It matches the Rfam family "Bacterial small subunit ribosomal RNA", at positions 796 to 916 of the family's 1533-position model. The record is from RNAcentral.
CACGCCCUAAACGAUGUCAACUAGCUGUUGGGGCCUUCGGGCCUUGGUAGCGCAGCUAACGCGUGAAGUUGACCGCCUGGGGAGUACGGUCGCAAGAUUAAAACUCAAAGGAAUUGACGG